GACGAACGCUGGCGGCGUGCCUAAUACAUGCAAGUCGAACGCUGAAGGAGGAGCUUGCUCUUCUGGAUGAGUUGCGAACGGGUGAGUAACGCGUAGGUAACCUGCCUGGUAGCGGGGGAUAACUAUUGGAAACGAUAGCUAAUACCGCAUAAUAGUAGAUGUUGCAUGAUAUUUACUUAAAAGGUGCAAUUGCACCACUACCAGAUGGACCUGCGUUGUAUUAGCUAGUUGGUGGGGUAACGGCUCACCAAGGCGACGAUACAUAGCCGACCUGAGAGGGUGAUCGGCCACACUGGGACUGAGACACGGCCCAGACUCCUACGGGAGGCAGCAGUAGGGAAUCUUCGGCAAUGGACGAAAGUCUGACCGAGCAACGCCGCGUGAGUGAAGAAGGUUUUCGGAUCGUAAAGCUCUGUUGUAAGAGAAGAACGAGUGUGAGAGAGGAAAGUUCACACUGUGACGGUAUCUUACCAGAAAGGGACGGCUAACUACGUG
Molecule: ribosomal RNA, 495 nt
Filed under: uncultured bacterium
Lineage: Bacteria
Description: partial 16S ribosomal RNA
Rfam family: Bacterial small subunit ribosomal RNA
Source: RNAcentral